RNAcentral lists this ribosomal RNA (440 nucleotides) under uncultured bacterium. RNAcentral describes it as "partial 16S ribosomal RNA". It matches the Rfam family "Bacterial small subunit ribosomal RNA", at positions 338 to 795 of the family's 1533-position model. The record is from RNAcentral.
CCUACGGGUGGCAGCAGUGGGGGAUAUUGCACAAUGGGGGGAACUCUGAUGCAGCGACGCCGCGUGGGUGAAGAAGCGCCUCGGCUCGUAAAGCUCUGUCAGCAGGGAAGAAAAGGACGGUACGUGAAGCAGAAACCCCGGCCAACUAAGUGCCCACAGCCUCGGGAAUAAGGAGGGGGCCAGCGUUAGCCGGAUUUACUGGGGGGUAAGGGGGCGCAGAGGGGGAUGCAAGCCAGGAGGGAAAGGCCGGGGGCGAACCCCGGGAAUGCUUUUGAAACUGUGUGGCUGGAGUGCAGGAGGGGCAGGCGGAAUUCCUGGUGUAGCGGUGAAAUGCGUAGAUAUCAGGAGGAACACCGGUGGCGAAGGCGGCCUGCUGGACUGCAACUGACGCUGAGGCCCGAAAGCGUGGGGAGCAAACAGGAUUAGAUACCCUUGUAGUC